This 476-nucleotide ribosomal RNA is filed under the name uncultured organism. RNAcentral describes it as "bacterial SSU rRNA". It matches the Rfam family "Bacterial small subunit ribosomal RNA", at positions 56 to 527 of the family's 1533-position model. The record is from RNAcentral.
UGCAAGUCAGGGGAAGUUCUCUUCGGAGAAUGAGUAUACUGGCGCACGGGUGAGUAAUAUGUAAGUAAUCUACCUAUGGGAUUAGAAUAACCUCGAGAAAUCGGGGCUAAUACUGAAUAACGCAGCAACACCGCAUGGUGAUGUUGUUAAAGUGAUUUAUCACACCUGUAGAUGAGCUUAUACUCGAUUAGUUUGUUGGUAAGGUAACGGCUUACCAAGACUACGAUCGAUAGCUGGUCUGAGAGGAUGAUCAGCCACACUGGAACUGAGACACGGUCCAGACUCCUACGGGAGGCAGCAGUGAGGAAUAUUGGGCAAUGGGCGAAAGCCUGACCCAGCAACGCCGCGUGGAGGAUGAAGGUCGUAAGAUCGUAAACUCCUUUUUUUGGGGAAGAAAAAAUAGGUUUAUAGCCUAUAUUGACUGUACCCAUAGAAUAAGCCCCGGCUAACUACGUGCCAGCAGCCGCGGUAAUACG